This 777-nucleotide ribosomal RNA is filed under the name Diphtherophora sp. Urmia. RNAcentral describes it as "eukaryotic LSU rRNA". It matches the Rfam family "Eukaryotic large subunit ribosomal RNA", at positions 360 to 951 of the family's 3401-position model. Lineage: Eukaryota; Metazoa; Nematoda; Enoplea; Triplonchida; Diphtherophoridae. The record is from RNAcentral.
AAAGUUGCAAAGAACUUUGAAGAGAGAGUUCAACAGGGCGUGAAACCGCUUAGAAGUAAACGGGUGGAGCUGACAUUACGCUUGCCGGAUUCAGCCGGUUUGAUGGUGGAUCGCUAGCUCGCCGAUCGCAAGACGGUGGGCUGGCGCGAUUCUCUCCGCCUAGAGCCGGUGCACUUUCGGUAGGCUGCGUCACGACCGACGAUCUGUCCGGAAAACACGCGUUUGGUUGAAGGCUAUGGUGUCUCGGCACUGCAGUAACUCGCCUUUCGCCGCUGUCCUGGCUCAAAGGUCGUCGGGAAUAGGCCGCGUCCGCUUCUUGCUCAGUACUGUGUUGCCUCGUAGUCGGUCGCUCCUAGGUGGUGUGCUUGCACGCCGCCUUAAAUCCCGGCUGCGACGGUGGUGCUUGCUGAGUGACGCAAAUGGUCUGUGGCGUCCGCGUCAGUCUCCCACCCGACCCGUCUUGAAACACGGACCAAGGAGUCUAACAUGCACGCAAGUCAUUGGGCUGUGAAACCCAUAGGCGAAAUGAAAGUAAAGGUCGCAAGACCGAGGUGAGAUCCUGGCCGUUCGCGGUCGGGCGCAUCACUGUCCCAUCGCAUCUGCUCGCCAGAGCGGUGGAGAAAGAGCGUGCAUGCUAGGACCCGAAAGAUGGUGAACUAUGCCUGAGUAGGAUGAAGCCAGAGGAAACUCUGGUGGAGGUCCGUAGCGGUUCUGACGUGCAAAUCGAUCGUCAAACUUGGGUAUAGGGGCGAAAGACUAAUCGAACCAUCUAGUAGC